GCACAGGCAAAGCAAUGGAGUGGAUUUACAAUCAAUGUAAUUAGAUUAGAUGAACUACUUCUGAUUGUAGGCUGAAGCAUCUUCAAAUUUUCAAAAGCUCCAAAAGAAUGCUUCUUCCUUUUCAAAUAUUAGCGGCCUUGCUUUGCAAUGUAGUCCUAGAAAAUUCCGAUUACAUAAAAAAUUAAAUAUAAAGAUUCGUUAUAUAAAUUUGGCCAAAGGUUAAGAUAGAAUCUAUGCUUUCAUUUUCAUUGUCUUUUGUAAAGAUUUGUAAUAUAAUAUUUGGUUCAGAUUGUGUUCACUGAUAUUUAUUCUGUUGGUUGUUUUAGAAAGAAGGUACACCUCUUCAAGUACUUCGACUAGCCACUGUUCCACCACAUCAUGAUUUGCAAGAUAAACCGGCAAUUAAAUCUAGCGGAGGACAAAAUCAAGAGAACAACCAAGGCGUAAGGAGUCCAUUGUCACAUCAACUAAUGGAAAUUCUUCAAAGAAUGAAACCUUUUGUCGAUGGUCAGAAAUCCGCUAUACAACAAUUCAUAUCCAAUCUAUGGCUCAUGCGAUAAAAGACUCUGUUGGAAAGGAAUAAGUUAUCUCCUGCUAUAAAGUUGGUCCAUGUAAUGAAAAGACUAUGGAAUCAUAGACUUUAAAAUAAGACUUGCAAUUGUAUCCUCUUCGUCUCAUUUCCUUCUCUCAGCCCUUUUUACCUUGCAAUCUCUUCGGAGGCAGCGGCGAUGCCACGGUCACAGAUGAAGAAAAAAAAGGAUGCGUGUCGUCUCCAAAGUGAGUGAAUGUGUCUCUGUGAGUGAAAUAUGACCUCCCUUCAGUUGUUAACAUUAUGCAAUCUUUUAAACAUUAGCAUAACAUCUUUCUUCUUUUCUUUUCUUUUUUGUGUCUAUAUAGUACAAAAUAUUAGUGGACUGUGUUGGUUUUGGCAUAUGUUGUAGUUGGUUUUGACAUUAUACCUUGAUCAUGAAUUUCAC
This 977-nucleotide long non-coding RNA is filed under the name Trifolium pratense (red clover). RNAcentral describes it as "long non-coding RNA (TPRA_LNC000863)". Lineage: Eukaryota; Viridiplantae; Streptophyta; Magnoliopsida; Fabales; Fabaceae. The record is from RNAcentral.